UACGAAGGGGGCUAGCGUUGUUCGGAAUUACUGGGCGUAAAGCGCGCGCAGGCGGUUCUUUAAGUCAGGGGUGAAAGCCCAGAGCUCAACUCUGGAAUUGCCUUUGAAACUAGAGAACUUGAGUACGGGAGAGGUGAGUGGAAUUCCGAGUGUAGAGGUGAAAUUCGUAGAUAUUCGGAAGAACACCAGUGGCGAAGGCGGCUCACUGGCCCGUUACUGACGCUCAGGCGCGACAGCGUGGGAGC
This 245-nucleotide ribosomal RNA is filed under the name uncultured bacterium. Its description in RNAcentral is "partial 16S ribosomal RNA". It matches the Rfam family "Bacterial small subunit ribosomal RNA", at positions 524 to 769 of the family's 1533-position model. The record is from RNAcentral.